GGUCCAAAAGUGAAGUAGAGGAGAUCGGAGAGAUCAUCUGAUCCUACCAAACUACUCUACUUCGAGUUUGUGCCC
Non-coding RNA from Haemonchus contortus (barber pole worm), 75 nucleotides. Lineage: Eukaryota; Metazoa; Nematoda; Chromadorea; Rhabditida; Trichostrongylidae. The record is from Rfam.